GUCUCACUGGCACAGUUGGCUAGCGCGUGGAGCUGUUAUCGACUCGAUUCGCAAUCACUCCGAGGUCGUUGGUUCGAACCCAACGUGGGACG
Tilletiopsis washingtonensis is the source of this 92-nucleotide non-coding RNA. NCBI's taxonomy places the organism in Eukaryota, Fungi, Basidiomycota, Exobasidiomycetes, Entylomatales. The record is from the annotation of a RefSeq genome assembly.